CCUUAUACGAUGAUUACACUGAUGAGUGCCCACACAGAUUGAUGGUUUAUACAGUUUUAGAGUAUGGGGCUAUAGCUCAGCUGGGAGAGCGCCUCGCUGGCAGCGAGGAGGUCUGCGGUUCGAUCCCGCAUAGCUCCACCAUCUUUAAGCACAUUUGCUUAAGUGUUCUUAAAAAUGGUUUUCAUCAGAAAAUCUUGCUCUUUAACAAUUUGGAAAGCUGACUGAUAACAACAUUAUUUGUUGUUAUCAAAUAAAAGAUCUCAAUAUCAAUACGUUUACGUGUUGAUACCAAACACAUUCAAGUGUUCUUGGGAAAGCUUACUGCGGUAAGUUUUCAAAAUUGAGUCCGGCAAAAUCGAAAUGUCUCUCGCUCAUUCAAUAAAGAGAGACACUAAACCUUGGUGACUUGUCAUCAACACGAAACUUCUUCGGGUUGUAU
This 439-nucleotide transfer RNA is filed under the name Vibrio aestuarianus. RNAcentral describes it as "partial 16S-23S ribosomal RNA intergenic spacer". The stretch from base 66 to 138 matches the Rfam family "tRNA". Lineage: Bacteria; Pseudomonadati; Pseudomonadota; Gammaproteobacteria; Vibrionales; Vibrionaceae. The record is from RNAcentral.